This 526-nucleotide ribosomal RNA is filed under the name uncultured bacterium. Its description in RNAcentral is "bacterial SSU rRNA". It matches the Rfam family "Bacterial small subunit ribosomal RNA", at positions 777 to 1304 of the family's 1533-position model. The record is from RNAcentral.
AAUAGAUACCCAGGUAGUCCACGCCCUAAACGAUGCCAACUGGACGUUGGGCUCACUUCGGAGCUCAGUGUCGAAGCUAACGCGUUAAGUUGGCCGCCUGGGGAGUACGGUCGCAAGACUGAAACUCAAAGGAAUUGACGGGGGCCCGCACAAGCGGUGGAGUAUGUGGUUUAAUUCGAUGCAACGCGCAGAACCUUACCUAGCCUUGACAUCCACGGAACUUUCCAGAGAUGGAUUGGUGCCUUCGGGAACCGUGAGACAGGUGCUGCAUGGCUGUCGUCAGCUCGUGUCGUGAGAUGUUGGGUUAAGUCCCGCAACGAGCGCAACCCUUGUCCUUAGUUGCCAGCGCGUAAUGGCGGGAACUCUAAGGAGACUGCCGGUGACAAACCGGAGGAAGUGGGAUGACGUCAAGUCAUCAUGGCCCUUAGGCCAGGGCUACACACGUACUACAAUGGUGGGGACAGAGGGCUGCGAACUCGCGAGAGCCAGCCAAUCCCAGAAACCCCAUCUCAGUCCGGAUCGGAGU